UUAAGCGACUAAGCGUACACGGUGGAUGCCCUGGCAGUCAGAGGCGAUGAAGGACGUGCUAAUCUGCGAUAAGCGUCGGUAAGGUGAUAUGAACCGUUAUAACCGGCGAUUUCCGAAUGGGGAAACCCAGUGUGUUUCGACACACUAUCAUUAACUGAAUCCAUAGGUUAAUGAGGCGAACCGGGGGAACUGAAACAUCUAAGUACCCCGAGGAAAAGAAAUCAACCGAGAUUCCCCCAGUAGCGGCGAGCGAACGGGGAGCAGCCCAGAGCCUGAAUCAGUAUGUGUGUUAGUGGAAGCGUCUGGAAAGGCGCGCGAUACAGGGUGACAGCCCCGUACACAAAAAUGCACAUGCUGUGAGCUCGAUGAGUAGGGCGGGACACGUGGUAUCCUGUCUGAAUAUGGGGGGACCAUCCUCCAAGGCUAAAUACUCCUGAUUGACCGAUAGUGAACCAGUACCGUGAGGGAAAGGCGAAAAGAACCCCGGCGAGGGGAGUGAAAAAGAACCUGAAACCGUGUACGUACAAGCAGUGGGAGCACGCUUAGGCGUGUGACUGCGUACCUUUUGUAUAAUGGGUCAGCGACUUAUAUUCUGUAGCAAGGUUAACCGAAUAGGGGAGCCGAAGGGAAACCGAGUCUUAACUGGGCGUUAAGUUGCAGGGUAUAGACCCGAAACCCGGUGAUCUAGCCAUGGGCAGGUUGAAGGUUGGGUAACACUAACUGGAGGACCGAACCGACUAAUGUUGAAAAAUUAGCGGAUGACUUGUGGCUGGGGGUGAAAGGCCAAUCAAACCGGGAGAUAGCUGGUUCUCCCCGAAAGCUAUUUAGGUAGCGCCUCGUGAAUUCAUCUCCGGGGGUAGAGCACUGUUUCGGCAAGGGGGUCAUCCCGACUUACCAACCCGAUGCAAACUGCGAAUACCGGAGAAUGUUAUCACGGGAGACACACGGCGGGUGCUAACGUCCGUCGUGAAGAGGGAAACAACCCAGACCGCCAGCUAAGGUCCCAAAGUCAUGGUUAAGUGGGAAACGAUGUGGGAAGGCCCAGACAGCCAGGAUGUUGGCUUAGAAGCAGCCAUCAUUUAAAGAAAGCGUAAUAGCUCACUGGUCGAGUCGGCCUGCGCGGAAGAUGUAACGGGGCUAAACCAUGCACCGAAGCUGCGGCAGCGACACUAUGUGUUGUUGGGUAGGGGAGCGUUCUGUAAGCCUGUGAAGGUGUACUGUGAGGUAUGCUGGAGGUAUCAGAAGUGCGAAUGCUGACAUAAGUAACGAUAAAGCGGGUGAAAAGCCCGCUCGCCGGAAGACCAAGGGUUCCUGUCCAACGUUAAUCGGGGCAGGGUGAGUCGACCCCUAAGGCGAGGCCGAAAGGCGUAGUCGAUGGGAAACAGGUUAAUAUUCCUGUACUUGGUGUUACUGCGAAGGGGGGACGGAGAAGGCUAUGUUGGCCGGGCGACGGUUGUCCCGGUUUAAGCGUGUAGGCUGGUUUUCCAGGCAAAUCCGGAAAAUCAAGGCUGAGGCGUGAUGACGAGGCACUAUGGUGCUGAAGCAACAAAUGCCCUGCUUCCAGGAAAAGCCUCUAAGCAUCAGGUAACAUCAAAUCGUACCCCAAACCGACACAGGUGGUCAGGUAGAGAAUACCAAGGCGCUUGAGAGAACUCGGGUGAAGGAACUAGGCAAAAUGGUGCCGUAACUUCGGGAGAAGGCACGCUGAUAUGUAGGUGAAGCGACUUGCUCGUGGAGCUGAAAUCAGUCGAAGAUACCAGCUGGCUGCAACUGUUUAUUAAAAACACAGCACUGUGCAAACACGAAAGUGGACGUAUACGGUGUGACGCCUGCCCGGUGCCGGAAGGUUAAUUGAUGGGGUCAGCGCAAGCGAAGCUCUUGAUCGAAGCCCCGGUAAACGGCGGCCGUAACUAUAACGGUCCUAAGGUAGCGAAAUUCCUUGUCGGGUAAGUUCCGACCUGCACGAAUGGCGUAAUGAUGGCCAGGCUGUCUCCACCCGAGACUCAGUGAAAUUGAACUCGCUGUGAAGAUGCAGUGUACCCGCGGCAAGACGGAAAGACCCCGUGAACCUUUACUAUAGCUUGACACUGAACAUUGAGCCUUGAUGUGUAGGAUAGGUGGGAGGCUUUGAAGUGUGGACGCCAGUCUGCAUGGAGCCGACCUUGAAAUACCACCCUUUAAUGUUUGAUGUUCUAACGUGGACCCGUGAUCCGGGUUGCGGACAGUGUCUGGUGGGUAGUUUGACUGGGGCGGUCUCCUCCUAAAGAGUAACGGAGGAGCACGAAGGUUGGCUAAUCCUGGUCGGACAUCAGGAGGUUAGUGCAAUGGCAUAAGCCAGCUUGACUGCGAGCGUGACGGCGCGAGCAGGUGCGAAAGCAGGUCAUAGUGAUCCGGUGGUUCUGAAUGGAAGGGCCAUCGCUCAACGGAUAAAAGGUACUCCGGGGAUAACAGGCUGAUACCGCCCAAGAGUUCAUAUCGACGGCGGUGUUUGGCACCUCGAUGUCGGCUCAUCACAUCCUGGGGCUGAAGUAGGUCCCAAGGGUAUGGCUGUUCGCCAUUUAAAGUGGUACGCGAGCUGGGUUUAGAACGUCGUGAGACAGUUCGGUCCCUAUCUGCCGUGGGCGCUGGAGAACUGAGGGGGGCUGCUCCUAGUACGAGAGGACCGGAGUGGACGCAUCACUGGUGUUCGGGUUGUCAUGCCAAUGGCACUGCCCGGUAGCUAAAUGCGGAAGAGAUAAGUGCUGAAAGCAUCUAAGCACGAAACUUGCCCCGAGAUGAGUUCUCCCUGACUCCUUGAGAGUCCUGAAGGAACGUUGAAGACGACGACGUUGAUAGGCCGGGUGUGUAAGCGCAGCGAUGCGUUGAGCUAACCGGUACUAAUGAACCGUGAGGCUUAACCUU
RNAcentral lists this ribosomal RNA (2901 nucleotides) under Escherichia coli. RNAcentral's name for it is "bacterial LSU rRNA". It matches the Rfam family "Bacterial large subunit ribosomal RNA". Lineage: Bacteria; Pseudomonadati; Pseudomonadota; Gammaproteobacteria; Enterobacterales; Enterobacteriaceae. The record is from RNAcentral.